Molecule: ribosomal RNA, 352 nt
Filed under: Vahlkampfia sp. VAH_50/10
Lineage: Eukaryota; Heterolobosea; Eutetramitea; Acrasida; Vahlkampfiidae
Description: partial 18S ribosomal RNA
Source: RNAcentral
CGGGAGCAUCCCCGUCUGAGCGUCGUUCCCAAAAAUCCCAACCCGACACGAUUAAAACCGUGGUAGGCUGGGUGAUCGGGAUUCUGCGGAAACGCUGUCUCCUGGGAACGCGGCGCACCCCUAGAUCCCCCAUCCGACGAUGAGGAUCAGGUGAAAAACUUCCUUCAAAAGCUCCUCGUGUGCAACUCACAUCGGGAGUCCCACCCCUGAACCAUCCAACUCGCGUCGACCUUGGGAUCAACUCCGGGGUGGACGGACGCCGUCCGUGGUCCGUGAGACCAGGGUCGGAGGAGUAAAAUCCUCCCCUCUCUAACCACGACCUCAGAUCUGGCAAGAUCCCCCACUGACUUCC